AGGUUAAGCUGACGAGUGGCGAACGGGUGAGUAAUGUAUCGGAACGUGCCCAGUCGUGGGGGAUAACUGCUCGAAAGAGCAGCUAAUACCGCAUACGACCUGAGGGUGAAAGCGGGGGAUCGCAAGACCUCGCGCGAUUGGAGCGGCCGAUAUCAGAUUAGGUAGUUGGUGAGGUAAAGGCUCACCAAGCCGACGAUCUGUAGCUGGUCUGAGAGGACGACCAGCCACACUGGGACUGAGACACGGCCCAGACUCCUACGGGAGGCAGCAGUGGGGAAUUUUGGACAAUGGGCGCAAGCCUGAUCCAGCCAUGCCGCGUGCGGGAAGAAGGCCUUCGGGUUGUAAACCGCUUUUGUCAGGGAAGAAAAGGUUCUGGCUAAUACCUGGGACUCAUGACGGUACCUGAAGAAUAAGCACCGGCUAACUACGUGCCAGCAGCCGCGGUAAUACGUAGGGUGCAAGCGUUAAUCGGAAUUACUGGGCGUAAAGCGUGCGCAGGCGGUUAUGCAAGACAGAGGUGAAAUCCCCGGGCUCAACCUGGGAACUGCCUUUGUGACUGCAUGGCUAGAGUACGGUAGAGGGGGAUGGAAUUCCGCGUGUAGCAGUGAAAUGCGUAGAUAUGCGGAGGAACACCGAUGGCGAAGGCAAUCCCCUGGACCUGUACUGACGCUCAUGCACGAAAGCGUGGGGAGCAAACAGGAUUAGAUACCCUG
Molecule: ribosomal RNA, 713 nt
Filed under: uncultured Roseateles sp.
Lineage: Bacteria; Pseudomonadati; Pseudomonadota; Betaproteobacteria; Burkholderiales; Sphaerotilaceae
Description: bacterial SSU rRNA
Rfam family: Bacterial small subunit ribosomal RNA
Source: RNAcentral